CAGCAGCCGCGGGAAUACGUAGGGUGCAAGCGUUAAUCGGAAUUACUGGGCGUAAAGCGUGCGCAGGCGGUUCGUUAAGACAGAUGUGAAAUCCCCGGGCUUAACCUGGGAACUGCAUUUGUGACUGGCGGGCUAGAGUAUGGCAGAGGGGGGUAGAAUUCCACGUGUAGCAGUGAAAUGCGUAGAGAUGUGGAGGAAUACCGAUGGCGAAGGCAGCCCCCUGGGCCAAUACUGACGCUCAUGCACGAAAGCGUGGGGAGCAAACAGGAUUAGAUACCCCAGUAGUCCCUGUCUCUUAUAC
RNAcentral lists this ribosomal RNA (301 nucleotides) under uncultured bacterium. RNAcentral describes it as "partial 16S ribosomal RNA". It matches the Rfam family "Bacterial small subunit ribosomal RNA", at positions 509 to 807 of the family's 1533-position model. The record is from RNAcentral.